This 164-nucleotide ribosomal RNA is filed under the name uncultured bacterium. Its description in RNAcentral is "partial 16S rRNA". It matches the Rfam family "Bacterial small subunit ribosomal RNA", at positions 355 to 511 of the family's 1533-position model. The record is from RNAcentral.
UAGGGAAUCUUCCACAAUGGACGAAAGUCUGAUGGAGCAACGCCGCGUGAGUGAGGAAGGGUUUCGGCUCGUAAAACUCUGUUGUUAAAGAAGAACAUAUCUGAGAGUAACUGUUCAGGUAUUGACGGUAUUUAACCAGAAAGCCACGGCUAACUACGUGCCGG